ACUCCGUACGGGAGGCAGCAGGUAGGGGAAUAUUGCACAAGUAGGGGAACCCUGAUGCAGCCAUGCCGCGUGUGUGAAGAAGGCCUUCGGGUUGUAAAGCACUUUCAGUAGGGAGGAAGGUAGUGUAGUUAACACCUGCACUAUUUGACGUUACCUACAGAAGAAGCACCGGCUAACUCCGUGCCAGCAGCCGCGGUAAUACGGAGGGUGCGAGCGUUAAUCGGAAUUACUGGGCGUAAAGCGCAUGCAGGCGGCCUGUUAAGUCAGAUGUGAAAGCCCGGGGGCUUAACCUCGGAAUUGCAUUUGAAACUGGCAGGCUAGAGUCUUGUAGAGGGGGGUAGAAUUUCAGGUGUAGCGGUGAAAUGCGUAGAGAUCUGAAGGAAUACCGGUGGCGAAGGCGGCCCCGUGGACAAGACGUGACGCUCAGAUGCGAAAGCGU
This 439-nucleotide ribosomal RNA is filed under the name uncultured bacterium. RNAcentral's name for it is "bacterial SSU rRNA". It matches the Rfam family "Bacterial small subunit ribosomal RNA", at positions 335 to 762 of the family's 1533-position model. The record is from RNAcentral.